RNAcentral lists this long non-coding RNA (258 nucleotides) under Setaria viridis. Its description in RNAcentral is "long non-coding RNA (SVIR_LNC004889)". Lineage: Eukaryota; Viridiplantae; Streptophyta; Magnoliopsida; Poales; Poaceae. The record is from RNAcentral.
CAACAAUGCCAGGAUGUCUGUUAAGAGUUCUGGGCACCAAUUGGUAAUUAAAGUUUUGCAGUCGUUCUCCUGGCUAUGCCUAUCUGUAUAUCUUCUGAUUUUUAUUCGAUUCCAUUCGAUCCUGCGGCGACAGUUACGUUUCAGAUAAGGUCCACUGUACCUCACAUUCUCACGUCAACGACGGCAGCGGUUUGCUUGCUUAAACCCAGCAACAAAGCAUAUAUGCUGCAGAAUCAGAAACGCUUUGCCGAUGCGGCG